RNAcentral lists this transfer RNA (74 nucleotides) under Sphaerodactylus townsendi. Its description in RNAcentral is "tRNA-Ala". It matches the Rfam family "tRNA". Rfam says of the family: Transfer RNA (tRNA) molecules are approximately 80 nucleotides in length. Their secondary structure includes four short double-helical elements and three loops (D, anti-codon, and T loops). Further hydrogen bonds mediate the characteristic L-shaped molecular structure. tRNAs have two regions of fundamental functional importance: the anti-codon, which is responsible for specific mRNA codon recognition, and the 3' end, to which the tRNAs corresponding amino acid is attached (by aminoacyl-tRNA synthetases). tRNAs cope with the degeneracy of the genetic code in two manners: having more than one tRNA (with a specific anti-codon) for a particular amino acid; and 'wobble' base-pairing, i.e. permitting non-standard base-pairing at the 3rd anti-codon position. The record is from RNAcentral. Lineage: Eukaryota; Metazoa; Chordata; Lepidosauria; Squamata; Sphaerodactylidae.
GGAUGGGUAUGGCUCAGUGGUGGAGCAUCUACUUGGCAUGCAGAGGACCCCAGGUUCAAUUCCUGGCAUCUCCA